CGGCGGCAAAGGAACGGGUGUCGAGAGAAAUAACGGAGGUAGAGACGUGCGCAUAGGAAGGUGUCGGGCGUAGGAACUGGUUGCCGAGUGAGGCCGGCUCCCGUAUAUAUAGGGAUUUGUAGCGCAGGGGGGGGGGAGACGGGAUUUUUUUCUUACAGGCGGGGUUGGAUCGGAGGGUAUGAUCGAUAGCCAUUGGUUGACGGUCCCCGAACGCCGUUACUGCCACCACUACCGCGGACAAUAGAACGUCGGAGCGCUCGUAAUUAUUGUCGCCGCCGUGCUAGUACAUGCGUUAAUACAGUGACCAUUUUAUACUGUUGUAAUCUUUCAAAAUAUUUUUCCAAUUAAU
This is a non-coding RNA of Cinara cedri, 349 nucleotides long. Lineage: Eukaryota; Metazoa; Arthropoda; Insecta; Hemiptera; Aphididae. The record is from the annotation of a GenBank genome assembly.